This 500-nucleotide ribosomal RNA is filed under the name uncultured Myrionecta. Its description in RNAcentral is "SSU rRNA". It matches the Rfam family "Eukaryotic small subunit ribosomal RNA", at positions 33 to 610 of the family's 1831-position model. Lineage: Eukaryota; Ciliophora; Litostomatea; Cyclotrichida; Mesodiniidae. The record is from RNAcentral.
CAUGUCCAAGACUAGCCAUGCACGUCUAGUACUACUAAUGAUGGUGAACUGCAAAUGGCUCAUUACAACGGUUAUGAUGUACCCGGGAGUUCCGAUGGAUAUUUCCAGUAACACUAGAACUAAUACAUGUCCCUGCGUUUAUUAGUUUCGCACAGUCCGUCGCUGAGUCAUGGUAAACAGUUGAUCGACUCGACGUCCCGGAACAGUUUCCGCCCCAUCAGCUUCGAUGGUUGGGUAUUGGCCUACCAUUGCAACAACGGGUAACGAGGAAUUAGGGUUUGAUUUCGGAGAGGGAGCCUGAGAAACGGCUACCACAUCUACGGAUGGCAGCAGCGCGCAAAUUACCCAAUGCAGACACUGUGAAGUAGUGACGAGAAUAAUAAAGCGGGACUUCUGUUUCGCUAUUAUAAUGAGGAUAACCAAAGUCAUUCCGAUAGCAACUGAUGGGAAAGUCUGUGCCAGCAGCCGCGUAUACCAGCGUCAGUAGCAUAUAUAAAUGU